AGAUAUUUGCAGGAUGCUUUUAAGGUGCCACUGGUAAUACAGCUCACUGAUGAUGAGAAGUUCCUGUGGAAGAAUUUGACUGUUAACGAAAGCAAAAGGCUUGCACGUGAAAAUGCAAAAGACAUCAUAGCAUGUGGUUUUGAUGUUGAAAAGACUUUCGUUUUCUCUGAUUUUAAUUUUGUUGGAGGUGCCUUUUAUGAAAACAUGGUUAAAGUUGCUAGAUGUGUGACAUAUAAUAAGGUUGUAGGAAUAUUUGGAUUCAGUCAAGAGGAUCACAUAGGAAAGAUUAGCUUUCCUCCUGUGCAAGCAGUUCCGUCAUUCCCUUCUUCAUUUCCCCAUCUCUUCUCUGGCAUGGAACAACUACGUUGCCUGAUCCCAUGUGCAGUAGACCAGGAUCCUUAUUUCAGGAUGACCCGUGACGUUGCCCCUAGAAUUGGUUGUCAAAAGCCAUCACUGACUGAAUCCAGAUUUUUCCCUGCUCUUCAGGGGGAGAGCACGAAAAUGUCAGCUAGUGAUCCAAAUUCUGCGAUAUAUGUGAGAGAUAAUGAAGAAGAAAUAUUGAAGAAGGUGAACAAAUAUGCUUUCUCAGGUGGCCAAGACUCAGCGGAACUCCAAAGAGAGCUUGGAGCUAACCUUGAGGUGGAUGUCCCGAUUAAGUACCUGAACUUCUUCCUUGAAGACGACGAUGAUCUUGAGCAGAUAAAGAAGGGUUACGGGGAUGGAAGCCUGCUAACUGGUAAAGUGAAGAAUCUUCUUGGUGACGUUCUAUCUGAGCUGGUUAAAAGACAUGAGAGAGCUAGAGCUCAAGUGACCGAGGAGAUGGUUGACGCCUUCAUGGCUGCGAGACCUCUUCCCAAUAUGUUUGGCUGA
Molecule: ribosomal RNA, 870 nt
Filed under: Triticum aestivum (bread wheat)
Lineage: Eukaryota; Viridiplantae; Streptophyta; Magnoliopsida; Poales; Poaceae
Description: partial small subunit ribosomal RNA
Source: RNAcentral